This 2904-nucleotide ribosomal RNA is filed under the name Salmonella enterica. RNAcentral describes it as "bacterial LSU rRNA". It matches the Rfam family "Bacterial large subunit ribosomal RNA". Lineage: Bacteria; Pseudomonadati; Pseudomonadota; Gammaproteobacteria; Enterobacterales; Enterobacteriaceae. The record is from RNAcentral.
UUAAGCGACUAAGCGUACACGGUGGAUGCCCUGGCAGUCAGAGGCGAUGAAGGGCGUGCUAAUCUGCGAUAAGCGCCGGUAAGGUGAUAUGAACCGUUAUAACCGGCGAUACCCGAAUGGGGAAACCCAGUGUGACUCGUCACACUAUCAUUAACUGAAUCCAUAGGUUAAUGAGGCGAACCGGGGGAACUGAAACAUCUAAGUACCCCGAGGAAAAGAAAUCAACCGAGAUUCCCCCAGUAGCGGCGAGCGAACGGGGAGGAGCCCAGAGCCUGAAUCAGCAUGUGUGUUAGUGGAAGCGUCUGGAAAGGCGCGCGAUACAGGGUGACAGCCCCGUACACAAAAGCGCAUGUGCUGUGAGCUCGAUGAGUAGGGCGGGACACGUGGUAUCCUGUCUGAAUAUGGGGGGACCAUCCUCCAAGGCUAAAUACUCCUGACUGACCGAUAGUGAACCAGUACCGUGAGGGAAAGGCGAAAAGAACCCCGGCGAGGGGAGUGAAAAAGAACCUGAAACCGUGUACGUACAAGCAGUGGGAGCACAGGUUUACCUGUGUGACUGCGUACCUUUUGUAUAAUGGGUCAGCGACUUAUAUUCUGUAGCAAGGUUAACCGCAUAGGGGAGCCGGAGGGAAACCGAGUCUUAAUUGGGCGUUAAGUUGCAGGGUAUAGACCCGAAACCCGGUGAUCUAGCCAUGGGCAGGUUGAAGGUUGGGUAACACUAACUGGAGGACCGAACCGACUAAUGUUGAAAAAUUAGCGGAUGACCUGUGGCUGGGGGUGAAAGGCCAAUCAAACCGGGAGAUAGCUGGUUCUCCCCGAAAGCUAUUUAGGUAGCGCCUCGUGAAUUCAUCUCCGGGGGUAGAGCACUGUUUCGGCUAGGGGGCCAUCCCGGCUUACCAACCCGAUGCAAACUGCGAAUACCGGAGAAUGUUAUCACGGGAGACACACGGCGGGUGCUAACGUCCGUCGUGAAGAGGGAAACAACCCAGACCGCCAGCUAAGGUCCCAAAGUCAUGGUUAAGUGGGAAACGAUGUGGGAAGGCCCAGACAGCCAGGAUGUUGGCUUAGAAGCAGCCAUCAUUUAAAGAAAGCGUAAUAGCUCACUGGUCGAGUCGGCCUGCGCGGAAGAUGUAACGGGGCUAAACCAUGCACCGAAGCUGCGGCAGCGACGCUGAUGCGUUGUUGGGUAGGGGAGCGUUCUGUAAGCCUGUGAAGGUGGCCUGUGAGGGUUGCUGGAGGUAUCAGAAGUGCGAAUGCUGACAUAAGUAACGAUAAAGCGGGUGAAAAGCCCGCUCGCCGGAAGACCAAGGGUUCCUGUCCAACGUUAAUCGGGGCAGGGUGAGUCGACCCCUAAGGCGAGGCCGAAAGGCGUAGUCGAUGGGAAACGGGUUAAUAUUCCCGUACUUGGUGUUACUGCGAAGGGGGGACGGAGAAGGCUAUGUUGGCCGGGCGACGGUUGUCCCGGUUUAAGCGUGUAGGCUGGUUUUCCAGGCAAAUCCGGAAAAUCAAGGCUGAGGCGUGAUGACGAGGCACUACGGUGCUGAAGCAACAAAUGCCCUGCUUCCAGGAAAAGCCUCUAAGCAUCAGGUAACAUCAAAUCGUACCCCAAACCGACACAGGUGGUCAGGUAGAGAAUACCAAGGCGCUUGAGAGAACUCGGGUGAAGGAACUAGGCAAAAUGGUGCCGUAACUUCGGGAGAAGGCACGCUGACAUGUAGGUGAAGUGAUUUACUCACGGAGCUGAAGUCAGUCGAAGAUACCAGCUGGCUGCAACUGUUUAUUAAAAACACAGCACUGUGCAAACACGAAAGUGGACGUAUACGGUGUGACGCCUGCCCGGUGCCGGAAGGUUAAUUGAUGGGGUCAGCGCAAGCGAAGCUCCUGAUCGAAGCCCCGGUAAACGGCGGCCGUAACUAUAACGGUCCUAAGGUAGCGAAAUUCCUUGUCGGGUAAGUUCCGACCUGCACGAAUGGCGUAAUGAUGGCCAGGCUGUCUCCACCCGAGACUCAGUGAAAUUGAACUCGCUGUGAAGAUGCAGUGUACCCGCGGCAAGACGGAAAGACCCCGUGAACCUUUACUAUAGCUUGACACUGAACAUUGAGCCUUGAUGUGUAGGAUAGGUGGGAGGCUUUGAAGUGUGGACGCCAGUCUGCAUGGAGCCGACCUUGAAAUACCACCCUUUAAUGUUUGAUGUUCUAACGUGGACCCGUUACCCGGGUUGCGGACAGUGUCUGGUGGGUAGUUUGACUGGGGCGGUCUCCUCCUAAAGAGUAACGGAGGAGCACGAAGGUUGGCUAAUCCUGGUCGGACAUCAGGAGGUUAGUGCAAUGGCAUAAGCCAGCUUGACUGCGAGCGUGACGGCGCGAGCAGGUGCGAAAGCAGGUCAUAGUGAUCCGGUGGUUCUGAAUGGAAGGGCCAUCGCUCAACGGAUAAAAGGUACUCCGGGGAUAACAGGCUGAUACCGCCCAAGAGUUCAUAUCGACGGCGGUGUUUGGCACCUCGAUGUCGGCUCAUCACAUCCUGGGGCUGAAGUAGGUCCCAAGGGUAUGGCUGUUCGCCAUUUAAAGUGGUACGCGAGCUGGGUUUAGAACGUCGUGAGACAGUUCGGUCCCUAUCUGCCGUGGGCGCUGGAGAACUGAGGGGGGCUGCUCCUAGUACGAGAGGACCGGAGUGGACGCAUCACUGGUGUUCGGGUUGUCAUGCCAAUGGCACUGCCCGGUAGCUAAAUGCGGAAGAGAUAAGUGCUGAAAGCAUCUAAGCACGAAACUUGCCCCGAGAUGAGUUCUCCCUGAGACUUAGAGUCUCCUGAAGGAACGUUGAAGACGACGACGUUGAUAGGCCGGGUGUGUAAGCGCAGCGAUGCGUUGAGCUAACCGGUACUAAUGAACCGUGAGGCUUAACCUU